Molecule: ribosomal RNA, 1289 nt
Filed under: Chryseobacterium sp. JG-Torno
Lineage: Bacteria; Pseudomonadati; Bacteroidota; Flavobacteriia; Flavobacteriales; Weeksellaceae
Description: bacterial SSU rRNA
Rfam family: Bacterial small subunit ribosomal RNA
Source: RNAcentral
GAUAGCCUUCGAAAGAAGAUUAAUACCCCAUAAUAUUUUGAUGGCAUCAUUAGAAAUUGAAAACUCCGGUGGAUAGAGAUGGCACGCGCAAGAUUAGAUAGUUGGUGAGGUAACGGCUCACCAAGUCUACGAUCUUUAGGGGGCCUGAGAGGGUGAUCCCCCACACUGGUACUGAGACACGGACCAGACUCCUACGGGAGGCAGCAGUGAGGAAUAUUGGACAAUGGGUGAGAGCCUGAUCCAGCCAUCCCGCGUGAAGGACGACGGCCCUAUGGGUUGUAAACUUCUUUUGUAUAGGGAUAAACCUACUCUCGUGAGAGUAGCUGAAGGUACUAUACGAAUAAGCACCGGCUAACUCCGUGCCAGCAGCCGCGGUAAUACGGAGGGUGCAAGCGUUAUCCGGAUUUAUUGGGUUUAAAGGGUCCGUAGGCGGAUCUGUAAGUCAGUGGUGAAAUCUCACAGCUUAACUGUGAAACUGCCAUUGAUACUGCAGGUCUUGAGUGUUGUUGAAGUAGCUGGAAUAAGUAGUGUAGCGGUGAAAUGCAUAGAUAUUACUUAGAACACCAAUUGCGAAGGCAGGUUACUAAGCAACAACUGACGCUGAUGGACGAAAGCGUGGGGAGCGAACAGGAUUAGAUACCCUGGUAGUCCACGCCGUAAACGAUGCUAACUCGUUUUUGGAUUUUCGGAUUCAGAGACUAAGCGAAAGUGAUAAGUUAGCCACCUGGGGAGUACGUUCGCAAGAAUGAAACUCAAAGGAAUUGACGGGGGCCCGCACAAGCGGUGGAUUAUGUGGUUUAAUUCGAUGAUACGCGAGGAACCUUACCAAGGCUUAAAUGGGAAAUGACAGGUUUAGAAAUAGACUUUUCUUCGGACAUUUUUCAAGGUGCUGCAUGGUUGUCGUCAGCUCGUGCCGUGAGGUGUUAGGUUAAGUCCUGCAACGAGCGCAACCCCUGUCACUAGUUGCCAUCAUUAAGUUGGGGACUCUAGUGAGACUGCCUACGCAAGUAGAGAGGAAGGUGGGGAUGACGUCAAAUCAUCACGGCCCUUACGCCUUGGGCCACACACGUAAUACAAUGGCCGGUACAGAGGGCAGCUACACAGCGAUGUGAUGCAAAUCUCGAAAGCCGGUCUCAGUUCGGAUUGGAGUCUGCAACUCGACUCUAUGAAGCUGGAAUCGCUAGUAAUCGCGCAUCAGCCAUGGCGCGGUGAAUACGUUCCCGGGCCUUGUACACACCGCCCGUCAAGCCAUGGAAGUCUGGGGUACCUGAAGUCGGUGACCGGUACAG